AAUUGGUUUUGAGAAACUAUGGAUGAAUGAUGUUGUUGGGGUUUACAAUUUCAUCUUAUCCACUCUCAUAUAUCUACUCUUCUUAUUUACUUCACUUAUUUAUCUAAUUGCCAUGCACACUUUCUUAUUUACCCUUAACCCAAUCCCUUGGUGAAAAGAACCUAUUAUUAAUUACCGGCUUGUUAUCCCUAGCCUCCCCUAGUAAACAAUAAUGCAAUGCGAUCGGAAGCAAAUACAAUUGACCGUCCUACCCCUAUCCCUAGGCGAUAUUGGCAUAAUCAAGGAAUUUCCCACUAGUUCAUGACAUUACCGUACGUCCCCAUAUCGAUAAAGACAAACAUCUUUUACUGAAUGAGUUAAACAAUAAAAGCAUUGAGCACAGAUGAGAACCCAACAAUUGAUAAACAAGUAUAUGACAAGCAUAUGAAAUAAAUAAGA
RNAcentral lists this long non-coding RNA (438 nucleotides) under Vigna radiata. Its description in RNAcentral is "long non-coding RNA (VRAD_LNC008562)". The record is from RNAcentral. Lineage: Eukaryota; Viridiplantae; Streptophyta; Magnoliopsida; Fabales; Fabaceae.